GGGGAUGGGCUGUAGCUCAGUGGUAGAGCAUCUGCUUUGCAUGCAGAAGGUUCCAGGUUCAAUCCCCAGCAUCUCCA
RNAcentral lists this transfer RNA (77 nucleotides) under Podarcis lilfordi (Lilford's wall lizard). Its description in RNAcentral is "tRNA.Ala". It matches the Rfam family "tRNA". From Rfam's summary of the family: Transfer RNA (tRNA) molecules are approximately 80 nucleotides in length. Their secondary structure includes four short double-helical elements and three loops (D, anti-codon, and T loops). The record is from RNAcentral. Lineage: Eukaryota; Metazoa; Chordata; Lepidosauria; Squamata; Lacertidae.